CCUACGGGGGGCAGCAGUGAGGAAUAUUGGUCAAUGGACGCAAGUCUGAACCAGCCAUGCCGCGUGCAGGAAGAAGGCCCUAUGAGUUGUAAACUGCUUUUGUACGGGGGUAAACGCAGAUACGCGUAUCUGUCUGAAAGUAUCGUACGAAUAAGGAUCGGCUAACUCCGUGCCAGCAGCCGCGGUAAUACGGAGGAUUCGAGCGUUAUCCGGAUUUAUUGGGUUUAAAGGGUGCGUAGGCGGUCUGAUAAGUUAGAGGUGAAAUCCCGAGGCUCAACUUCGAAAUUGCCUUUGAUACUGUUCGGCUAGAGAGUAGUAGCGGUAGGCGGAAUGUGUGGUGUAGCGGUGAAAUGCUUAGAGAUCAUACAGAACACCGAUUGCGAAGGCAGCUUACCAGGCUACUACUGACGUUGAGGCACGAAAGUGUGGGUAUCAAACAGGAUUAGAUACCCUGGUAGUC
Molecule: ribosomal RNA, 460 nt
Filed under: uncultured bacterium
Lineage: Bacteria
Description: partial 16S ribosomal RNA
Rfam family: Bacterial small subunit ribosomal RNA
Source: RNAcentral